GAGGGUAUAGUUCAGUGGUAGAGCGCAUACCUAGCAAGCAUGGGGUCCUGGGAUCAAUCCCCAGGACUUCCG
RNAcentral lists this transfer RNA (72 nucleotides) under Camelus bactrianus (Bactrian camel). It matches the Rfam family "tRNA". From Rfam's summary of the family: Transfer RNA (tRNA) molecules are approximately 80 nucleotides in length. Their secondary structure includes four short double-helical elements and three loops (D, anti-codon, and T loops). RNAcentral also lists the same sequence under 1 other name. Lineage: Eukaryota; Metazoa; Chordata; Mammalia; Artiodactyla; Camelidae. The record is from Rfam by way of RNAcentral.